Molecule: ribosomal RNA, 253 nt
Filed under: uncultured bacterium
Lineage: Bacteria
Description: partial 16S ribosomal RNA
Rfam family: Bacterial small subunit ribosomal RNA
Source: RNAcentral
UACAGAGGGGGCAAGCGUUGUCCGGACUUACUGGGUGUAAAGCGCAUGCAGGUGGCUGUGCAAGUAUGCUGUGAAAGCCCCGUGCUUAACACGGGGAGGCCAGUAUAGACUGCACGGCUCGAGGACUGCAGAGGGUAGGGGAAUUGCUGGUGUAGUGGUGAAAUGCGCAGAUAUCAGGAAGAACACCCGUGGCGAAGGCGGCUCUCUGGAACGCAACUGACGCUGAGACGCGAAAGCGUGGGGAGCAAACAGG